This 118-nucleotide small RNA is filed under the name Marmota monax (woodchuck). The record is from RNAcentral. Lineage: Eukaryota; Metazoa; Chordata; Mammalia; Rodentia; Sciuridae.
GCCGGGCACGGUGGUGCACGCCUGUAAUCCCAGCAGCUUGGGAAGCUGAGACAGGAGGAUCAAGAGUUCAAAGCCAGCCGCAGCAGGUGCUAAGCAACUCAGUGAGACACUGUCUCUA